UUGAGGUCAAUGGAUCUACCCACAUGAAUAUGGUUAUGUAUGUGAGUUUUCAGGAUCUGGGCCUUAACAUGUACAAUAGGAAUAUUUGCACUUAUAUUAAAUCUGCAAGGGGAUCUUAAAUCUCUAGAUUCAGGAUAUAAGGCAACCACUGUCUGUGUGGGAUUAGGAAGCAUCAUCCCACUUCCACUUCUCCUCACUUCCCAUGGGCAUGUUACAAAACUAUCCAUAAUGUGGGUUGUAAGAUUUCCUCUGUAGCCGUUGGUGCUGACCGCUGUCGUACAGGACAGAUACUGGACUCCAAGGUCAUUGGCUUUGAUCUGCCAUGGUAUUUGCUAUGUUAGGGGGUGCAAGUUAACAUAUCCCCUUUCUCCUGUUAAGGUAAUAUGAGGUAACGCUAAUAUUAGCUUCGUUCUCUUCUAGGAAGAGAAUGUAAACCACUAGAACCAGAAAAUGGCAGGGUUCAUUUCACGGACCUCCGGUUUGGUGCAACAGCAAACUUCUCCUGUAAUGAAGGGUACAGAUUAAAUGGACCAACUUCUGCCAAAUGUGUGGUUGCGGGAAAUGGAGUUGAUUGGGAUAAAGAGCUUCCACUUUGCGAAGCAAUACCUUGUCCUCCACCUCCUCAUAUCACCCAUGGAUCCCAUACUGGUCAGACUGUACAAAAGUUUUCCUUUGGCUCAGCAGUAACUUACAAAUGUGACCAGGGCUUCUCUCUUAUUGGAGAGGCCUCCAUUCAUUGUACAAC
Molecule: non-coding RNA, 745 nt
Organism: Chrysemys picta bellii (western painted turtle)
Lineage: Eukaryota; Metazoa; Chordata; Testudines; Emydidae
Source: RefSeq, a predicted model, not a curated record